AACGAACGCUGGCGGCAGGCCUAAUACAUGCAAGUCGAACGCGCCCUUCGGGGUGAGCGGCGGACGGGUGAGUAACGCGUGGGAAUAUGCCCUUCUCUAAGGAAUAGCCUCUGGAAACGGAGAGUAAUACCUUAUACGCCCUUUGGGGGAAAGAUUUAUCGGAGAAGGAUUAGCCCGCGUUAGAUUAGGUAGUUGGUGGGGUAAUGGCCUACCAAGCCUACGAUCUAUAGCUGGUUUGAGAGGAUGAUCAGCCACACUGGGACUGAGACACGGCCCAGACUCCUACGGGAGGCAGCAGUAGGGAAUCUUAGACAAUGGGGGCAACCCUGAUCUAGCCAUGCCGCGUGUGUGAUGAAGGCCCUAGGGUCGUAAAGCACUUUCGCCAGAGAUGAUAAUGACAGUAUCUGGUAAAGAAACCCCGGCUAACUCCGUGCCAGCAGCCGCGGUAAUACGGAGGGGGUUAGCGUUGUUCGGAAUUACUGGGCGUAAAGCGCACGUAGGCGGAUUAGUAAGUUAGAGGUGAAAUCCCAGGGCUCAACCCUGGAACUGCCUUUAAUACUGCUAGUCUUGAGUUCGAGAGAGGUAAGUGGAAUUCCGAGUGUAGAGGAAAAAUUCGUA
This 618-nucleotide ribosomal RNA is filed under the name uncultured Alphaproteobacteria bacterium. Its description in RNAcentral is "bacterial SSU rRNA". It matches the Rfam family "Bacterial small subunit ribosomal RNA", at positions 28 to 692 of the family's 1533-position model. The record is from RNAcentral. Lineage: Bacteria; Pseudomonadati; Pseudomonadota; Alphaproteobacteria.